UACGUAGGGUGCGAGCGUUGUUCGGAAUUACUGGGCGUAAAGGGCUCGUAGGCGGCCAACUAAGUCGGACGUGAAAUCCCUCAGCUUAACUGGGGAACUGCGUCCGAUACUGGAUGGCUUGGAUUUGGGAGAGGGAUGCGGAAUUCCAGGUGUAGCGGUGAAAUGCGUAGAUAUCUGGAGGAACACCGGUGGCGAAGGCGGCAUCCUGGACCAAUAUUGACGCUGAGGAGCGAAAGCUAGGGGAGCAAACGGG
Molecule: ribosomal RNA, 253 nt
Filed under: uncultured bacterium
Lineage: Bacteria
Description: partial 16S ribosomal RNA
Rfam family: Bacterial small subunit ribosomal RNA
Source: RNAcentral